GGAGAUCCCUUCGGGGUGAUCCCUUCGGGUGAACUUGUCGCUGUCGAGUGGCGGACGGGUGAGUAAUGCAUAGGAAUCUGCCCUGUAGUGGGGGAUAACUCGGAGAAAUCCGAGCUAAUACCGCAUACGACCUACGGGUGAAAGCGGGGGACUUUCGAGCCUCGCGCUAUGGGAUGAGCCUAUGUCGGAUUAGCUAGUUGGUAGGGUAACUGCCUACCAAGGCGACGAUCCGUAGCUGGUUUGAGAGGAUGAUCAGCCACACUGGGACUGAGACACGGCCCAGACUCCUACGGGAGGCAGCAGUGGGGAAUAUUGGACAAUGGGCGCAAGCCUGAUCCAGCAAUGCCGCGUGUGUGAAGAAGGCCUGCGGGUUGUAAAGCACUUUUAUCGGGAAAGAAAAUCCCAGGGUUAAUACCCCUGGGCCUUGACGGUACCCGAAGAAUAAGCACCGGCUAACUCCGUG
Molecule: ribosomal RNA, 463 nt
Filed under: uncultured bacterium
Lineage: Bacteria
Description: bacterial SSU rRNA
Rfam family: Bacterial small subunit ribosomal RNA
Source: RNAcentral